CUUUCCUGGCUUUCAGCUCUUGACCAGCCGGACUGUUCUUGCUCGCAGAAACCUCAUGCAGCUUGGCCGUCAAUCUAGAUGAAGAAAAGGCACUAGGAGAAAAAGCUGAGUGGACUCCUGGGGCUCUCCAGUUCACCAUCACAGCCUACUUCGUGAGAUCAAGGCCAGUGAGAGACCCUGACUCAAAAACAAACCCCAAACAAAGGAGGAUGAUAUCUAAGGAACAAGAGCUUUGGCCAGGGAUCCAAGCUUGGGUUAAAGUUCAUCAGACACUUACGAGGAAACCAUGCUUUUAAAGGCAAGAUUUAAUGAAAUUCACAGUUUUAUGUAAAAAACAACUUCAAAGGAAAAAGCACACUGAUGCUGUGGAAAGUAGAAUCCAUGAAGAGCCUUUACCUCAGAGACCUUGUUAGAUUCCUUCGCCUAACAACCUGCCUUCAGCCAGUCACACGCCCAUCAGUCGAUUAACAAGCGCUUGUAAAUAUAAGUGCUUUGCU
RNAcentral lists this small RNA (497 nucleotides) under Rattus norvegicus (Norway rat). Its description in RNAcentral is "uncharacterized LOC103693167". Lineage: Eukaryota; Metazoa; Chordata; Mammalia; Rodentia; Muridae. The record is from RNAcentral.